GACGAACGCUGGCGGCGUGCUUAACACAUGCAAGUCGAACGGAAAGGCCCUGCUUUUGUGGGGUGCUCGAGUGGCGAACGGGUGAGUAACACGUGAGUAACCUGCCCUUGACUUUGGGAUAACUUCAGGAAACUGGGGCUAAUACCGGAUAGGAGCUCCUGCUGCAUGGUGGGGGUUGGAAAGUUUCGGCGGUUGGGGAUGGACUCGCGGCUUAUCAGCUUGUUGGUGGGGUAGUGGCUUACCAAGGCUUUGACGGGUAGCCGGCCUGCGAGGGUGACCGGCCACAUUGGGACUGAGAUACGGCCCAGACUCCUACGGGAGGCAGCAGUGGGGAAUAUUGCACAAUGGGCGGAAGCCUGCUGCAGCAACGCCGCGUGCGGGAUGACGGCCUUCGGGUUGUAAACCGCUUUCGCCUGUGACGAAGCGUGAGUGACGGUAAUGGGUAAAGAAGCACCGGCUAACUACGUG
This 468-nucleotide ribosomal RNA is filed under the name uncultured bacterium. Its description in RNAcentral is "partial 16S ribosomal RNA". It matches the Rfam family "Bacterial small subunit ribosomal RNA", at positions 28 to 507 of the family's 1533-position model. The record is from RNAcentral.